CAGGUAGGAAUACCCGCUGAACUUAAGCAUAUCAAUAAGCGGAGGAAAAGAAACUAACAAGGAUUCCCCUAGUAACGGCGAGUGAAGCGGGAAGAGCUCAAAUUUAAAAUCUGGCAGUGUAUUCUGUCC
RNAcentral lists this ribosomal RNA (129 nucleotides) under uncultured Basidiomycota. RNAcentral's name for it is "partial 28S ribosomal RNA". It matches the Rfam family "Eukaryotic large subunit ribosomal RNA", at positions 12 to 139 of the family's 3401-position model. Lineage: Eukaryota; Fungi; Basidiomycota. The record is from RNAcentral.